GAUGAACGCUGGCGGCGUGCCUAAUACAUGCAAGUCGAGCGAACGGACCCGAAUCUUGCUUCUCUGAUGUUAGCGGCGGACGGGUGAGUAACACGUGUAUAACCUACCUAUAAGACUGUGAUAACUUCGGGAAACCGGAGCUAAUACCGGAUAAUAUUUUGAACCGCAUGUUUCAAACGUGAAAGACGGUCUUGCUGUCACUUAUAGCUGCAUCCGCGCUGCAUUAGCUAGUUGGUAAGGUAACGGAUUACCAAGGCAACGAUGCAUAGCCGACGGGAGAGGGGGAACGGCGACACUGGAAGGGAGAAACGGACCAGAGACCUACGGGAGGCAGCAGUAGGGAAUAAUCCGCAAUGGGCGAAAGCGUGACGGAGCAACGCCGCGUGAGUGAUGAAGGUCUUCGGAUCGUAAAACUCUGUUAUUAGGGAAGAACAUAUGUGUAAGUAGCUGUGCACAUCAUGACGGUACCGAAGCAGAAAGCCACGGCUAACUACGUG
This 497-nucleotide ribosomal RNA is filed under the name uncultured bacterium. Its description in RNAcentral is "partial 16S ribosomal RNA". It matches the Rfam family "Bacterial small subunit ribosomal RNA", at positions 28 to 507 of the family's 1533-position model. The record is from RNAcentral.